RNAcentral lists this ribosomal RNA (1249 nucleotides) under Rhizobium sp. RNAcentral describes it as "bacterial SSU rRNA". It matches the Rfam family "Bacterial small subunit ribosomal RNA", at positions 37 to 1335 of the family's 1533-position model. The record is from RNAcentral. Lineage: Bacteria; Pseudomonadati; Pseudomonadota; Alphaproteobacteria; Hyphomicrobiales; Rhizobiaceae.
UGGCGGCAGGCUUACACAUGCAGUCGAGCGCCUCGCAUGGGCAGUGGUCCACGUGUGACUAACGCAUGGGAACAUACCCUUUCCUGCGGAAUAUGUCCGGGGGGCUGGAAUUAAUACCGCGAACGCUCUACGGGGGAAAGAUUUAUCGGGGAAGGAUUGGCCCGCGUUGGAUUCGCUAGUUGGAGGGGCAAAGGCCUACCAUGGCGACGAUCCAUAGCUGGGCUGACAGGAGGAUCAAUCACAUUGGGACUGAAACACGGCCCCAACUCCUACGGGACGGAGCAGUGGGGAAUACUGCACAAUGGGCGCAAGCCGGAUCCUAUCAUGCCAUGUGAGUGAUGAAGGCCUUACGGUUGUAAAGCUCUUUCACCGAUCAUCAUGAUGACGGUCAUUUUAAAAUAAGCCCCGGCUAACUUCGUGCCUACCUCCGCGUUAAUACGAAGGGGGCUAACGUUGUUCCGAAUUACUGGGCGUAAACCGCACGUAUGCUGAUAUUUAAGUCAGGGGUGAAAUCCCUUACCUCAACUGCGGAACUGCCUUUGAUACUGGGUAUCUGGAUUAUGGAACACGUAAGUGGAAUUCCGAGUGUAGAGGUGAAAUUCCUGAAUAUUCGGAGGAACAGGGUUGGCGAAUGCGGCUUACUGGUCCAUUACUGACGCUGAUGUGCGAAAGCGUGAGGAGCAAACGCGAUUACAUACCCUGGUAGUCCACGCCGUAUGCGAUGAAUGUUAGCCGUCGGGCAGUAUACUGUUCGGUGGCGCAGCUAACGCAUUAAACAUUCCGCCUGGGGAGUACGGUCGCAAGAUUAAAACUCAAAGGAAUUGACAGGGGCCCGCACAAGCGGUGGAGCAUGUGGUUUAAUUCAAAGCAACGCGCAGAACCUUACCAGCUCUUGACAUUCGGGGUAUGGGCAUUGGAGACGAUGUCCUUCAGUUAUGCUGUCCCCAUAACAUGUGCUGCAUGGCUGUCGUCAGCUCGUGUCGUGAGAUGUAGGGUUAAGUCCCGCAACGAGCGCAGCCCUCGCCUUUAGUCGCCAGCAUUUAGUUGGGCACUCUAAAGGGACUGCCGGUGAUAAGCCGAGAGGAAGGUGGGGAUGACGUCAAGUUCACGAGGACCCUACGGGCUGAGCUACACACGUGCUACAAUGAUGCUGACAGUGGGCAGCGAUACCGCCAUGUCCAACCUAUUUCUACAUGCCAUCUCAAUUCGGAGUGCACUCUGCACCUCGAGUGCCUGAACUCGGAAUCGC